CUACGGGUCGCUGCAGUGGGGAAUAUUGCACAAUGGGGGGAACCCUGAUGCAGCAACGCCGCGUGGAGGAUGACACAUUUCGGUGCGUAAACUCCUUUUAUAUAAGAAGAUAAUGACGGUAUUAUAUGAAUAAGCACCGGCUAACUCCGUGCCAGCAGCCGCGGUAAUACGGGGGGUGCAAGCGUUACUCGGAAUCACUGGGCGUAAAGAGCAUGUGGGCUGGUUUGUAAGUUGGAAGUGAAAUCCUAUGGCUUAACCAUAGAACUGCUUCCAAAACUACUUACCUAGAGUAUGGGAGAGGUAGAUGGAAUUUCUGGUGUAGGGGUAAAAUCCGUAGAGAUUAGAAGGAAUACCGAUUGCGAAGGCGAUCUACUGGAACAUUACUGACGCUCAGAUGCGAAAGCGUGGGGAGCAAACAGGAUUAGAUACCCUGGUAGUC
This 439-nucleotide ribosomal RNA is filed under the name uncultured bacterium. RNAcentral's name for it is "partial 16S ribosomal RNA". It matches the Rfam family "Bacterial small subunit ribosomal RNA", at positions 339 to 795 of the family's 1533-position model. The record is from RNAcentral.